This 2034-nucleotide long non-coding RNA is filed under the name Bemisia tabaci. RNAcentral describes it as "lncRNA ENSSWEETPG007512". The record is from RNAcentral. Lineage: Eukaryota; Metazoa; Arthropoda; Insecta; Hemiptera; Aleyrodidae.
GCAAAACAUCAAAAUACCCAUAAACGCCUUAAAAUGACCAAGAUGUGUAAUGCCAGUGAAAUGUCAUUAAAAUGCAGGGGUAGGGAGAAAUUUCCCCCCUGGAAAAGUUUGAACGGAUACCUCAAGGAGGAAGCACUUUCAACUUCGAAGUCAAAUUACUGUGGGAAAUAUCUUCUUCCUUCGACUGGGGUAUAUACCCUGCUGUUCCAGCCAGUGCUGUAGCAGACAUUGAUAAAAGUUUUGGUUUUUAACAUAUUUUUUGACUGUUUCAAAUUAUUUUUGUUUCAGCAGGCCGAACGGUGGACAGCAUUCUGGGACCCAGCGGUCGAAUUUCGGCUUUGCAGCCUCCCCGGCUUUGAAACCUUCCGCACCAGCUCCAACGUUCGGUGGGUUAAGCCUGGUGAGCGACCUGGUCCUAUCGGAGGACAGCGACGACGACGAGAAGAAAGCGCCGCCGAUCCUGUCGCCGCCCUCGCCGGCCUCGCCGCCGACGCUCAACAUCUCCUCGCCGCCCCUCCCGCCCUCCGUGACGCCCCUCGGGCCCCUGGCUUCCCCCGGGCCCCUUGCGUCGCCCGCCUCCCCGGCACUCAAGCCCUUCCCGCCCUCCCCGGAGCUCGCCCAACUCAAGCCAUUCCCGCCCUCCCCCCCGUGGCGAGGCCCACCCCCUCGCCUACCCCGCAGCCUAAGCAAUCGUAAGUAACUUGAUUUUUUUAUGUAAGAAAUCGAACAGCAUUUCGUUAAGCAAAUCAAUCAGAGGACCUCGAAGGACAAGGUGCAUAAGUGCAGUUUCUGCUAUUUCGAGAAAUUCGCGUUGGAAGUUUCGAAAUUGCGUGGAUCCUAAUGGCGGAAAGAAAGUUCAUACUGACUUCUUGAUGCUUCAAAAUUAGAAUUGAAGAGCGAAUACUUCACAGAAUAUGCAUUAAGACUAAUUUUACUUGAUAUCAUGAAUAUCUCAAUUUUUUCAAGAACUGCCUCUCAUGCGCAUUGUCCUCCAAGGCCCCUUAUGUACUGGAUAACGGAGCUAGAUCAUUUGCCGGGGCAGGGCUCUAAACGCCUGGCCUCCCUAGAAGUUAGUGUGAUCCCCAACCUUAACCCCACUCACAGGGGGAUCUAGAGUUUAUAUAGAACACCCCCUUCCUGUGCAAAGUUGGGUGUGGGGGGUAUUCUCCGGGAAGGGCUGAAAAAUUGACUGCAUUUUAGAUACUUUUUGAGGCUGCCACGAAGUAAAUUUGCAUUAAAAAUUCUGUUGAUUUUGUGAUGGCAAGGAGGACAACUGACAAAACCGACUAAUCGCAUAACUCCAUUCCUCCGUACUGACUUACUGCCAUGCGAAGGAAAAGCGUUGUAUGAACCAUCAGGCAUUGCCAAAUUUCCUUUUAUCGAACUCGAAUUUCCUGGUAAACUUCUGAAUAUUUUCCUUCAAAUUUUUCAGAAGAUUUUGUUCUCAAUUUCUUCUUAAGUUCUUGAAAAUUUUAAGGAAAAAUAUGCAUAACAUCACUCAGAAAUAAACAUUCUAUCGAAGGAAAUUUGGCAAUUCUGGAAUGUUCAUACGGCGUUCUUCCUUAGCACGGUUUCGUGGUCUUGUAUUAUCCAAUCAAGUAACACAAAAUUGCAGCCAUUAGGCUGUAGUUUCUCAUGUCCUGAAAGUUUUCCACUUCUUUUUAAAAGUUAAAAUAGAGAAGUACUAGCUGUCAAUCUUCAGAUUAUUGAAACGUGCCCUCCCUCCGAAAGAGCAUGUAUUCACUAAAACGCAAAGAUUUCAGCAAAAUGAAUUUUACCCAUUUUUUCCUUGUUUGGUUCGGAUUCAUGAAGGAGGUGCACAGAUCAUAUUAAUAGAAUAAUAGAAAAUUGAUUUGUAACGUGGUUGCAUCAUUUUUUAGAAACCAGGGUUGCACUAAAAGUGAUCUCAGGAGCCACAGCUCCAGGAGCGAUCAAUUAUCCCCAUGAUUUGUUUUCCAACCUAAUUAUCUAGGUGUUGCAUCUAUUCUUGCAGAGCGCCGAAACUGUCUCCAGCACUGAUAAACUGACCUCGUC